UGAACGCUGGCGGCGUGCUUAACACAGUGCAAGUCGAACGGAGUUUUAACGGAAGUUUCGGAUGGAAGUUAGAAGCUUAGUGGCGGACGGGUGAGUAACGCGUGGGUAACCUGCCUCAUACAGGGGGAUAACAGUUAGAAAUGACUGCUAACACCGCAUAAUAUAGCGAAACCGCAUGAUUUUUGCUAUCAAAUAUUUAUAGGUAUGAGAUGGGCCCCGCGUCUGAUUAGCUAGUUGGUGGGGUAAAAGCCUACCAAGGCGACGAUCAGUAGCCGGCUUGAGAGAGUGACCGGCCACAUUGGGACUGAGACACGGCCCAAACUCCUACGGGAGGCAGCAGUGGGGAAUAUUGGACAAUGGGGGAAACCCUGAUCCAGCGAACCGCCGCGUGAGUGAAGAAGUAUUUCGGUAUGUAAAGCUCUAUCAGCAGGGAAGAUAAUGACAGUACCUGACUAAGAAGCCCCCGGCUAACUACGUGCCAGCCGCAGC
This 489-nucleotide ribosomal RNA is filed under the name uncultured bacterium. RNAcentral describes it as "bacterial SSU rRNA". It matches the Rfam family "Bacterial small subunit ribosomal RNA", at positions 30 to 518 of the family's 1533-position model. The record is from RNAcentral.